CUCAGGAUGAACGCUGGCGGCGUGCUUAACACAUGCAAGUCGAACGAUGACCCCGUGCUUGCACGGGUGAUUAGUGGCGAACGGGUGAGUAACACGUGAGUAACCUGCCCCCGACUUUGGGAUAAGCCCGGGAAACUGGGUCUAAUACCGGAUAUGACUUCUUACCGCAUGGUGGGUUGUUGAAAGAUUUAUCGGUGGGGGAUGGACUCGCGGCCUAUCAGCUUGUUGGUGAGGUAAUGGCUCACCAAGGCGACGACGGGUAGCCGGCCUGAGAGGGUGACCGGCCACACUGGGACUGAGACACGGCCCAGACUCCUACGGGAGGCAGCAGUGGGGAAUAUUGCACGAUGGGCGAAAGCCUGAUGCAGCGACGCCGCGUGAGGGAUGACGGCCUUCGGGUUGUAAACCUCUUUCAGUAGGGAAGAAGCGAAAGUGACGGUACCUGCAGAANAAGCGCCGGCUAACUACGUGCCAGCAGCCGCGGUAAUACGUAGGGCGCAAGCGUUAUCCGGAUUUAUUGGGCGUAAAGAGCUCGUAGGCGGUUUGUCGCGUCUGCCGUGAAAGUCCGAGGCUCAACCUCGGAUCUGCGGUGGGUACGGGCAGACUAGAGUGAUGUAGGGGAGACUGGAAUUCCUGGUGUAGCGGUGAAAUGCGCAGAUAUCAGGAGGAACACCGAUGGCGAAGGCAGGUCUCUGGGCAUUUACUGACGCUGAGGAGCGAAAGCAUGGGGAGCGAACAGGAUUAGAUACCCUGGUAGUCCAUGCCGUAAACGUUGGGCACUAGGUGUGGGGGACAUUCCACGUUUUCCGCGCCGUAGCUAACGCAUUAAGUGCCCCGCCUGGGGAGUACGGCCGCAA
Molecule: ribosomal RNA, 857 nt
Filed under: uncultured Arthrobacter sp.
Lineage: Bacteria; Bacillati; Actinomycetota; Actinomycetes; Micrococcales; Micrococcaceae
Description: bacterial SSU rRNA
Rfam family: Bacterial small subunit ribosomal RNA
Source: RNAcentral